Molecule: long non-coding RNA, 378 nt
Filed under: Vitis vinifera (wine grape)
Lineage: Eukaryota; Viridiplantae; Streptophyta; Magnoliopsida; Vitales; Vitaceae
Description: long non-coding RNA (VVIN_LNC001171)
Rfam family: tRNA (bases 11-93)
Source: RNAcentral
UUCAAUCUAUAGAUCUGUAAGCUCAAAUUGGCGUGAGCGCUCAAUUCCGGAUUUGGGGUUGAGAGGAUGGUGGUUCAAAUCCGCUCAGAUCUUAUAAUGCGUGUACCCUGUCCCUGUGUAUAAACUUGCGCUCAAUUCUGGCUUUUUUGGGGUUUGAGAGGAUGGUGGUUUAAAUCUCUGCUUAGAUCUUAUAACACUUGUACCCUGUACCUGUAUAUAAAUCUGCUCUCAAUUCCGGGUUUGGGGUUGAGAGGAUGGUGGUUCAAGUCCGCUCGGAUCUCAUAUAUAGUAUCCCUGUCCCUGUGUAUGAACUUGCGCUCAAUUCCGGGAUUGGGGUUGAGAGGAUGGUGGUUCGUUCAAAUACGCUUAGAUCUUAGU